CCAGCCCAGCCCAGCCCAGCCCACCACUUCCAUUUCCCACGCCCCACGCCCCACGCCCCGUCCUUUCAGCUUCUAAUCUGUUUCAUCUUCCAAAACAAAAAAACCCAUCUCCGUCUCUUCCAUCUCGCCGGCGACGGCGUGCCAAGAUGGCGCAGCCCGACGAGGGCAACGAGGCACUGGAUCGGGAGACCACCUCUCUGCCCACGGCUACUCCAAUCAGGCAAUUUCCAACGAUUGAGAUAACUGGCCAGCCCUCGAUGAGCAGCACACCGGCGGCCUCUGCAUCAGAAUCCUCUCUGCCCACAGCUACUCCAACCAUGCAAUUGCCAAGAACUGAGACUAAUGGCCAGCCGAGAAUGAGCAACACACCAGUGAAUAAUCAAGACAUACAAGAUGCAGAUAAUGUUCCAAGAGUUGGGAAGUGCUUUCAGUCUGAAGAAGAGGCGUACCAAUUUUACAAUUCUUAUGCUCAAACCAAGGGAUUUAGCAUUAGGAAGUGCCGCUUGAAGUUUAAGGCAGAUGGGACUUUAAGUUCCAGAUAUUUUGUUUGUAGCAAGGCAGGUGUGAAAAAUGCUAAUCCAACACAUGUGGCCAAGAAAGAACAAGCUAUUUCGAGGACUAAUUGUAUGGCUCGAGUGUUCAAUUCAGCAUCAAUCAAGAGGGAAUUUGGACUGCUCAGAAAGUUACGCUCGACCACAAUCACCAGCUUGUAAGUCCAGAUAAGAGGCACAUGCUUAGAUCGCAGCGUCAACUCUUAGAUGCCGAUCGCCACAUGAUUAAGCAAAUGAGGACAUCGGGAAUUAGACAAGCCGAAAUUUAUGAUUUUUGCGAGCUUUGGUAUGGUAAAGAUGCUAUACCCUUCUUGCAAAUGGAUUGCAACAAUUAUUUGCGAAGUGAGCGCUCAAAGUAUAUGGAAACCAAAGAUGCACAAACAUUAAUGGAGUAUCUAAAGAACAAGCAAGCUGAGGACCCUUCGUUUUUCUAUGCCAUGCAGUUAGAUGAUGAUGAUGGUACAAUAAUGAACAUCUUUUGGACUGAUGGACAAGCUAUCAUGGACUAUUCUGUCUUUGGAGAUGCCCUUUCCUUUGACACCACAUUUUCAACAAUGAUGCCAUUUAGAGCUCCUGAACGAAUAAAAGGUUCAAAGCAAAAAAAGAUCAAAAGAUGUGCUAGAGGGAGCAAAGAAAGGCAAAAAAAAAAGGAAAAGGUACAAACUAUCCGGCAAAGGAGUCCGUGUUUGUGCCGUCCGUAGCUGGCCCUUCCGAAUAUGGUUUUGGUGGUACUAUAAAUCCAUCAAUAUCCAUGGCAUUUGGAGAGUAUCCAUCAUUUUUAGGUCAACCUAUCCAAGGAGAAUUCACAAGACUAUUGCUUGAAGCUCAUGGAGAUGGCACAGCACCGCCGGGCGCUCGUCAACUGGAUUUCAGCGGUGGUGCUAGUACAUCAAGGUUUCAGCCAUGACGAGCCCGAUCGUGCGUUGAUGCAUAAUGUCUUGUUGGUUCCUCAAUGCUAGUUAGCUGGGCAUGUCAGCUAUAUGGUUUAUGUAUUUGGUUUACAUAAAACUGGAGCUAUCCUUUUAUUUUGCUGCUAUGUGUGUGUCACCUGACAAUGCUGAACAUCUGUUAUCAAACAUAUAUUCUAUUAAACUGAAGUUAUCAUUUUCUUCUACUGCUAUGUGCUAGUGUUUCACCUGAAGCUAUCAUUUUCUUCUGCUGCUAUGUGUGGACAAGAACAACUAUACAUUGCAAAUUCCACAAGCUUUCAUUCACACAGAAAUUCGUUUACAACAUAGGCCAGUCUUGUAAGAGAAUAAAAUUCAGAAAGGAAAAUACAGAAUAGUUGCCUUUGUUCAGGCUUUUACAGCUCAAAUCACACACAAAAAUCUACAGGAACUUGUUAGUUGAUGCUGUUUGGCGUGGCGCCGCGAGCUUGGCCGCCGGAAAACAUGGUGGGUGCCGGCGGGGAUGGAGAGCCACGAGCAGGCCGGCGUCGAGGAGCAUGCCGACGAGCAGCUACGAGCCUACGACGGUGCCGCGACCUGGGCCGCCAACGAACGCGGUCGUGCCCGCGGGAAUGGAGGACGUCGAGCAGGGGAGUUGGGUCCAGCGUCGAGGAGCACACCGGCGGCGAUGUGGCGAGCAGCCGGAGCGGAUCACGCCGGCGGCCGGAAUUGGGGGCGUUGGAGGAGUUGGGCUAGGGAUUUGAUGCACGCUCGACCUGGUCUUCGGUUCGGGAUAAGGUGACUCUGCGCUGAGAUUCGUGCUGCCAGAUGUCAUGCGCGCGAGGUGGUCUUCCGUUUGGCCUCGUGCGACCCGGUCGUACCAGAUUUUUUUCCCUCCGCCGUCGGCAUUUGGCGGACUCGGAGUGAGGGGCAAGGUCUCAACGCCGCAAGUCACCGUCGUCCUCCGCCUCCUGCCUGCCGUUGCUCGCACGCGCCGCUGUCCUCAGACCUCAGUCCCGGCCUCGCGCAGUCGACCAGCCGGUCACCGUCGUCCCUCAUCCCCUCCCCCUUCGCAGAUAUCUGGUGUGACAGGUGCCACUCAAGAGGCGACGCGCGCACACCAGCUGUUCGAAGAAAUGCAUCCCCGAAGUGUUUUCUACUCCCUCUGGCCCCAGCGAGAGACGACGCAUCGUCAAGAAUGACCUUUGGGUCUGUCUUUGAGAGGAGAGUGGCGUGGCCACUCAUGAGAUUGCGGACCAUGGGCGGUGCGCCCAUCCUGCAGCAGCUCCACCUGGUGGAAACGCUACUGCACCGCACCAGCCAUGACUGGUGCAUCGUCAAUGAUGGCACGGUUCUGCCCACCAUUUUCAUGGUUGUCUCUGGGUAAUGUCCUCUUGGUGUGUUCAGUAUGUUGUCUUUGUUCCUAGUAUGGUUGUUCAUAUGGGUUUUCAUGCCAACAAGAAGGUCUCUGAGUUGAGGUACAGCCUGUUCUUCGAGAUCAUGUGCCGGUGGAAGGCGGUUCAGUGGAGGUGGCACUGUCAUUGUUGAUCAGGGGAUGGUCAAUGUUCAUCGCCUUCAUAUGCAACAAGACUGCUGUCUCUGGGUUGCAGCCGUUUCCUCGAGACAUCAUGUCAUGGACAGGCCAGCUGUAUGGUUCCGUGGAUUCGGCGAAUUUCAUCUCCGUGAAAAUGGUCUGGAAUUGCUCAAAACACCAAGCAAAAUUUAGUGCCAGCAAACAGCAUUUCUCCCCAGGAAUCGGCUUAUUUCUGUCGAAACCCUGGCCAGCUAGCUUUCAUCCCCAAGUGGCAGAAUGACCGUUGAGUACGUCCCAGUCUUUCAUAGGCAAGGAACCAAACAGAUUUCCUGUGCCGCAUGAACGAGCAUCACGAUCAGUUUUCACCGAGGGGAUAACCGCGGCCCUCGGAGACCACUUUACGGUCCAACACAGAGCUAGAAACGGCGCUCUCCGACCACGACGACUUCGUGCCUUCUACGAACACGACGACUUCGUGCCUUCUACGAAGGUGCUAUCGCUGCAGGACUUGCAAGACAUCAUGUCCAAAGAGUCCCCCACAGCACAGAGGGUUCAAGGAUGGCCACGGUGAUGAAGAUAACUGCUUGUUUUGUGACACAUGGAGAUUUGUAUGCCGCAUGAUGAACUCGGCUUAGAGUUUAGGCGACACUCACUGCUGUCACGUGAUUUAGACAAAUCAAUCUAUCAGAAGUUGUAAUUCCGAUAUUUUUGGCAGCCUUGAUUUGGUGCUUCAAACUAUAGAACAUGCUUGGUUGGCAGGCCUGAAGCUGUGGUAUAGCUCACCUGCAGCAGGUUUACUGACAUUGUAUAGAAUUUGCGUCAAUGGCGAUCUGUAAAACCCAUAACGUGGAUGGAUCACUCCCUCUGUAAAAACAAUAUGAGAGCGUUUGUACUCA
Aegilops tauschii subsp. strangulata is the source of this 3868-nucleotide non-coding RNA. NCBI's taxonomy places the organism in Eukaryota, Viridiplantae, Streptophyta, Magnoliopsida, Poales, Poaceae. The record is from RefSeq and is a predicted model, not a curated record.